UCCUGAUUUACCAAGGCGAUUUGAGUUGGAUGCCCCUCUUAAUAAGUACGACAGGAGCACUUUCUACAUCUCGGAUCCCAUUAUUGGUUACACAGAUUAUCCUUUCCUUGAAGAAGCUUAGGGCAUGGUUAACAGAUAUGAUCCUUUUCCGUCUAGCAAUUUAUUGUUUGCUCUGGAUAUUUGGACGGUCUCUCCUUAUUUAUUUUUCUUGCAUUACUGUUUUUAUUAAAUAAUAAGAGCAAUUAUGGAGGGGGGAAAUCACUAUUUGCCUAUUCUUAAAGGGGUACUCUUUGCCCGACAGGUGAUAAAUAGUCCAUGUAAGAACUCUCAACUGUCAAAUUUUGUGACCAUUUGUAUUGUGUGUGGAAUAUUGCAUUCCGUAUUGUUUAUGAAUGAUGUGAUUGAUGUAUAUUUUUUUAAGAACAUAUUUUUAAAAAGAAAGAUAUCUUGAAGAAUGAGAGGUUAAAAGUAGGAAAAAGUAAUGGGUUGACACGCAAAAUUAAUUUAUAGGGAAAUGUCUUAUCAAAAAUAAAAUCGGGGAAAAAUGAGUUCUAUGAAUUUGUACCAAACAUGCUCUAAGCAUUAUUUAUUUCAAAUAUGUCUUGUGAUUCUAAAACUGUUGUUCUUACAUUUUUGCAAUUUCUUAAAUGACAAGGACACGUCAUGUGCGAACCUCUUCUUCAAAAACUUGCCAUACCAGAAAUUAUAAUUAAAAAUAUCAUUAAGAGGCACAUAUGUAAAUUUAUUCUUUUAAAAACUUUUAGAACUGAUAAAUAAUAAACUCUCAAGUAUAAGUUUGAUUGUUUUAGAAACCAAUACUAAAACACAAAAUUAAUCUGCUCAUAAACACUAAAAUCUAUAAUUUAAAAACGUCCAUAACUGGAACCUCAAAACUCCCAAACAGCCUUUAGUGCUUGUUUAAGAGAAAUUAUUUGAAAUGAAAAAUAUUUUUUUAGAAUAUGUGUCUUUAAAAAUAGAGGAAAAAAAUAUGAAUUUACGGAUAUAAUUAUUUUAUUGAAAAAUAAUUAAUUAAAAAUAAAUUUUAAAAAAAUAAUUUUUAGAUAAAAUUGGGUCAAACAAGGGAUUAGAUAUAUAGAGCCUAUUUGGUUUUGAUUAAAAUCUAAUUUUAAUUUAAGUCAAAAUCAAACAAUUUAUACUAACAACAUAUUUCAUAGGUCUCACAAAUUUUCAACUACAUGUUUCAAAAACUUCUACCACAAUCUAUUAAAAAAAUCUAAUUUUAAUCUCAAUUAAACACCCUCACAAUAUUUUUUAUUUUCCUUCUCGUAGAAGUAGGAAUGACAAUGGGUCGAGCCAACACUUUAACCCACAGCUCGGCUCAUACUCGUAACGAGCCUAGUUCGCGCUCUUAAAAACGAAGCUCAGCUCAGCUAAUUACUCAUGGGGCGAGCUGAACUUGGGCUCGCGAGCUUUUUUUUUUUUUUUUUUAUUGUAUGCUGAAAUUAGAUAAAACAAAAACUUUUUUUUUUAACAAAAAAUAAAUAAAUCGAGCAAAAAUAUUUGAUUGAAUUGAUUUUUUUCUUUUUUUUUUAAAUAGAAAAAACAUAAACCCUUAUUCUUUAUCCAGACUUGGGACCGGCUACUCAAAUUUUGAGUAGGCAGAGUUAAAAUUUGUACACAAAGAACUUUUAACGUGUACAAUUUUUAAAAAUAAUUAAAAAGGUAUUAUAAAAUAAGAAAUUGUGAUUAAACUUGUAUAAUUAAAUAUCACUUACUUGACGACAUGUAAUUUUAGCAUAUUUAUCUUAUAUUCGAAAAUGAGUGUCCUGCCAAACUUCACGCACAUCAAUGCUUCUAAAAUAUCCUCUUUCAGUCGACUCAUGACCUCGAAAAAAACUCUCCUACUUGUACUAAAAGCAGACUUUGAAGUUACAGUACUAAUCAGAGGUGUCAGUAAUUUUUCUGCAAUUGCGAAAACUACUAGUUAUCAUCGUUCGUACCUCCGCCAGAAUUCAAUAACAUUUUCAAAAUUUUUUUAAUCAUUUUAUUAGUAGACAUAUUAUGGUUAAAGUAAUUAACUAAUUCAGCAGACAAAUUAUUUACACUUCCAUCUAAUAUUUGGGCAGAUGGAGAUGCAACAGACAAAGUAUUACUAGACGAAGAUGAACCUAUUGCAUUUGAAUCAUACCUAUACGUGCUAAUGCCUUGAAAUAAAUUAUAUAUUUCAAUAUCGUCUUCUUCAAGUUUAAUAGAAGGAGUAGGCGCACAGGGUACUCGACUAACAUUUGUACCCAUUCGUUCAGCAUAUAAAUUAUACGUUUCAUUUAAAGUUCGUUCUAAAUUUCUAUAUGUGAUAAGUGUACCAAAAGUUAAAGUUUUAGAAAUUUGAUCAAUUAUAUAUUUGGUUUCCGAUAAAUUAUAUCAUAAGUAAGUCUUUUCGGUAUUUUCUAAACUUCGAUUCCAUAGAGUAUAUAAUUGCACUAAAAUCAGGGUCAUUUUUGUAUUUAUGAAAGGUCCUUGCAACUAUAUAAAGAUGUUAUAGCAUCAUAUAGCUAGAGGGAUAGUAAAUUCCAAAUAAAAUAUUUGUACUAUCAUAAAAACUUGUCAAAAAUCUUUUAACCUUUAAAGCUAAAAGCUGAUUGGAUUCGUUCAGAAUAGUUUCGUCAUCGUUUCUAAUAUGCAUAUUGUUGUAAAACUCAAUUAUUAAAUAUUCAAAAUAUUCACAUGACUUUAACAAUAAGUAAGUGGAGUUCCAUCUAUGACUUACGUCACUAACAAAUGUGUUAGAAUUCGACUCCCCAAAUUCGACAUAAAAUUCCUCAAAUGUUUGUUUUCUACUAGGGGAGAUCGUGAUAUAUAUUAGUGUAUUUCUAAUUCUUUGUAUUUUACCUUUAAUGUGUUUCAAACCAUCUUGCACAAUUAAAUUUAAAAUAUAACACACACAACGAAAAUAAAACAAAUAACCACCGAAAUCAGGUUACAAUACCCUAUACAAUUUAUCGAUAACUACUUUAUUAACAUUAGCAUUGUCGAAACUUUCGUAACAAUAUUAUUUAAUAAUAGUCAUAAUCGCAUUAUAUAUAUUAUUAGCGUUAUGUGAGAAUUCAAUAAUUUAAGUAAUAACUUUUUUUAUGCAUAUAUCCAAAGUUAAAGAUAUAACACCACCAUAUUUUUGUAAAUUCAAAAUUAAUUGUUUUCUAUUUGAAGAAAUACUCUAUUGUGUCUGAAUGAAGAGUGUUUUGACUUAUCCCAACGUACUUCGAUUGAAGAUAUUUUUUCACGUAUGAGACGAAAUGUUGGUUGUUCGUUAUUGUAAAAGGCAACUCAGCACCAGCAAUAAAUUUCAUCAUUCCUAUUCAAGCAUUUUUCUCUGAAUAUAUCCACAUAGUGAGGGGCGAAAUUGUAGUACCGGCUCCUGGACUACCAAAUUGCAGUUGUAUUUGACUGGCUUGAAGAAGUCCAUAUUUGGCAGCACACGCUUUGUAGUGCCCAUUAAGGUGGGUGGUAUCAAUGCCUUUUUAUCAUGCCAAUUAUUGUCGACAGUAUUUACAUACUGCUUUGGACUCGAGGACUCCAUUGACAUCUCGGCCCGUCGAAAUCAAUUUAAAGUGAUCACAACAUUUUGCCUAUUUUUUUCCUUUCGCUUCCUUCUAGCAUUGGGAAUGUUUAACUCGUGUUCUUCCUCCUCUUGUUCCUUUUGGGCUUCGAGAACAUUGAUGUCAUUCUAAUCAAUUGGAUAAUUUGUAUUAUUGCUGGGGUCCGCAUCCAAAUCCAAAUGUGGAAUAUUUUUAAGAAUUGGUACUUCAUUUAGACUGAAAAAUUGAUUUCAAUAUUGACUUUGCGGCAUCGUAGGUGAUUUGCCUCCGAUAUUGAACAAGUCCUCGACAAAUGAGCAUGGAUCCAUUUCAUUUUGUGAAUUGUGAAGAUAAAAUAUAGAAAUAAUAGAUGAUAUAGGAAGAUGAUUGAAUUGUAAAAAUGAAUUGAAAUUGAAGAUGAUUAAAUUGAAAAAAUGAAUCUAUAUUAAUGACUAUAUUGUAUAAUUAUAGACUAAUUGAGAGUUAAGAGAAAGAGUGUUGAAAAAAUGAAUCUAUAUUAAUGACUAUAUUGUAUAAUUAUAGACUAAUUGAGUGUAAAGAGAAAGAGUGUUGAGAAUCUUGAGAUAUUGAGAAAUUGAGAAUUGAAAGUUGAGAGAGUUUAUGAAAAUUUUGGGCAAAUUAUUAUGCUAUUUAUAGAAUAGGAGGAAGAAAAAAGAAAAAAGUAAAAAUAAAACUUCAGUGAUUGGUGUCAAUCACUGACGAAACGUUAGUGAAAAGUGACCAAAACAGUCACUUUUUUAAAAAAAGUGACCGAUUUGGUCACUGAUCAAGACAAGCCACGAGCGACUUGGCUCGUGUCUUGAAUGAGCUGGCUCGUGGCUCGCAUUCAACGAGCCACGAGCGGCUUGCCUGUUCGGUCUGCUCGGCUCGGGCGCUUUUUUGUUUUACGAGCUUGAGUUGUCCACGAGCCCCAUUUUAACGAGUUGAGCUGGCUAGCUGACGAGCCGACGAGCUACACGAUCCGUUUGCCACCCUUACGUAGAAGAGUAUUCCGAGGAAGCUAACUUAGCCCCUGUUUGGACUCCAUAUAAAUGAGAUGUUGGGAGAAAAUGUGUUUUGAAAUAGUAUUUUUUGGAGAAUCUGUGGUUAAAGGAUAAGGAUAACUUUUUGGAUUUACGUGUAAUAUUAUUUUAUGGAAGAGUACAUAGUUGAAAAUGAGUUUGCAUUUUUUGAAUAAACAGAGCCCAAAAAAGGGCUUAAUUUUUGUUUGAAAACUUUAAGUUAAGCUCCUGUUUGUCUGCCGUUAUUUCAAAACUUUUUUUCCCAUUAAACUCAGUUUCAAAUAUACAUUCUCAAAAUAAAAUCAUUUUCACGUAAAUUAAAAAAAAAUUCCCUUUCACUUAACCACAAAUUUUCAAAAAAUUCACCAUUCUAAAACUCUUUUUUCUACUUUAAUUGUAGACAAUGUAGGAAUUGGUUCAAAUAAUUAACCAAAAACUGGAAAAUGAAAAGGUGUGUAAAAGUGAAAAAUAAAAAUGUGUGAUUACGUGUCAACUUCGACCAAAUAUUCGGACUUGAUCUGAUGGUCAAAUUACAAAAGUAAAUAAACAAACUUAUUCUACUCGUCGAGUAGAUUUUCGUGGUAUAUUUGGAAUCUCGAAAUCAAUUUCGGAUGAAUGAGAAAUUACGGACCAAAGUUGGAAAAAAUGAAGUGUUGUAACUUUCCGAAAUGAUGCAGGUUUUGGCCAAGUGUUGCAACUUUUUGAAAGGAUGCAUGUUUUGGCCCAUACAACUUCAUUUACACAAUUUCUACAUCUAUGAAUAGAAUCCUAUGGACAUGGUUUUGGGUACACCAAUUGUAUUGAUCAUUCAUUCUCCUCUUACAAUUCUUUCCUUUCUAAUUUCAUAGCAUUUUCAUUCAUUUCCUUGGUAGAGAGGGAAUUCCAUUCGAGUUUGCUGGUCGAAAUCAUUUGGAGUGCUCCUAUGGCUUGACGUGGUUGUUGUAUCUUGGGAGAUGACUGUCGAAAAACCAUUAGCACUGAUGCGUGGCAAAUUCAUUUUAAGAAAAGAGUUAUACUCGCUUCGGCCAAUCGCAUCACUUACAUUGUAACUAGUAGGACCGUCUAUUACAAAGAAGACUGUGGUCCUAGUAGUCGUCCCUAUAGUUAUGUCCAAUGGCAUAACUCCCUUAGCUGAAGUUGCUCCUCCAUUGAAACUCGUAAGGAUGACUUCUGUAGGAAUCAUGUCACCCUUCGUCUUUGCGAACUUCCUCAUCAUCCUAGAUGGAAUGGUGUUUAUAGCUGCUCUAUUGUCGAUAAGCACUUUUGUCACAGGGAUGCCGUUAACUAGAACUUUAACGUACAAUGGCCUCAAGUGUUUAGUCAAUUUCAUGCAUGACCAUUUAAAAAUAACCUUUUCGACAGCCUCUAUUUCUACUUCCUGCUUGUUUUCUGUCGAAUUAUCCCCCUGUGAUAAGUCGACGUGCAGCAUAUCGUGCUGAGCCUCUGUCUCCUGAAUCUCCUCCUUACUGUUUUCUAAUGCUUCCUCAUCAGUUACCCAACCUGUGGGAGGGGGCAUUAUUCUUGGAGGUGAUCCAUACUUUUCAGAGUGAGGCACCCUCUUCUUCCUUUUGGACGUCCCGUACAGUACGUAGAAAUUGAAAAGACGCCCAGAUGGUUCUCCCAACAAGUCUACUUUGCGAACUCCCUAUCGAUGUAGUUGCUUCAACAGAGUAUUGUGCGAUACUCCUGUCCUUCUUCUUUCUGCUUCUAGGUCGAUUUCUUCUUCGAUUCUGUCAUCCCGUCGUCUUCUUCAUCAUUGUGAGCCUCUCUAGAAGUCUGGCCUUCUUCACAUUCCAGCACGCAAGUCUCUCCUUCGUUGUCCUCCCUUUCUUCUUCUUCUUUUUCUUUAUUCUUAAAUUCAUUGGCCAAUAAGUAAUUAUUGGCCACGACUGGAGGUAACGUACCGAACUGGAUAGUAAGGGGCUGAUCUGAAUUUUCUCCAUCCCUUUUGUCCCGCUUAAACUUUGAUCUCCUAGAAGAAGUUUCUGGCAGUUCUUUCAUUGAUUCAUCUGUACCGGUCUCUUCACUAUCUUUGAGAACAUUUUGAUUGGUUACCCUGAGUAGUUUAGGCGCUUUAGGAUGUGAAACUCCCUGUUGCUGCCUCAUCAUUCGUCCAUAGUUUCGUUGAAAACGCCUUUGUUGGGUUCUAGUCAUCUCAUCGAAGGGUACUACUCUUCCUGCAUUAUACUGGAACGAAUGUCAUACAUUUGACCAGCGAGGUUAUGGCCUGAAUGUUCUCCCAUUAUCUGCUGGCCUGAACUGCCUCUCAAAAGGCGGUCCUCUAUAGAAUGAUGUACCUCGCCCUCUACCAGGCUGAGUGUUUGGGAAGAAAGUAGGGCGAUGGGGAUGUUACCAUAUCCCUAGUUUCUCCGUGUUUCCACUCACUUCUCUUUUACAUCUUGCACACAGGACGUCUUCGUCCUUUUUUGGUUCUUUCCCCUUGAUUCGUUCAAAAACACUGGGAUGUGUUCUAGGAUCCUCUUCUCCAUCAUCUAUGAUCAACUUGAAUUUUGACAACUUGUUUUUGAAACCAGACGUCACCAUGUUUACUCCAAGUGGCUAUGGAAAAGGACUUUCAUCCACUGCCAUCUUCUUCUUAUCGUCGAACGUAAUUCGUCCUGAUUCAAUGGCAUCCUGCAAUACAUGGCGAAAAACCAAGCAAUUGUUAGUCAAAUGGGACCAUGCAUUAUGCCACUUACAAUAUUUUUUACCCUUAAUUUGUUCAGGGUUUGGCAAUUUAUACUGAUCACUCAGCUUUAUCUGCUUAUCCCUACAUAAUUUAUCAAAUAUAAUGUCAGCUUUGGUUACAUUGAACGAGAACGUUCUAGCCUUUAUGUUUCCAUCUUUCAUGGGCUCAUCUUUGCCUGAUGGUCUAGGCUUAGCCAUUAUAGGACAAGUAUACGUAUUUCCUUUGACCAGUUCGAUCAAACACAUUUCGGCCUGAUCGUAUGACUCGUCCCUGAUUGUAUGAACGUUAAAAUUUGGGUCUUUGUAAUAAGUCUCUUUACUAGAAUUUUUCAUCUGCUCUUCCUCUCUUAUCAGUCGUUCAUACCUAAUCACAUUCGUACUCAACUGGAAAAGGUCAGGAAAUUUCUUGUCCUGGAAUUUCUUUUUUAAAUCAAAGCUCAAACAACCCUGAGCGAUUUUGACAAAUUCUUUUUCGGGCAGAAGUACAAAACACUUGCUUCUUGCUGUCUUGAACCUUUGGGGAAAACUUUCUGCCCAUUCGUUUGGCAUUUGACGUAGAUUCGCCAAAUCAGCCAAAGUGACUUCAGACUUAGUUUUAUAAAACUGAGCGUGGAAUAACUGUUCCAAUUGUUGCCAUGUUUGAACAGAGUUCGCUGGCAAGUUGAUGAACCAGGAAAAGCUACUCCUGUUAAUGAACUAGGAAAAAGCCUCAUUUUAUGGUAAUCAGUUACAUCACGGCUUUGCAAUAUGAAUCGCCCUAUGUGUUCUAGAGUAGACUCCUCUCCUAAACCGAUAAACAGUGAGAAUUCUGGCACUUUAUAUCCUCUAGGCUAUGGAUAUGCUUGGUCUACCCAAUCAGGAUAUGACUUUGUGUAAGUCGGCCUAAUGACAGGACGCACCCAAAAAGCUAUUUGAUCCUGUACGAUUUUCAUAAUCUGAUUCCUCAACAUGACGUUGGGGUCAUAUGGAAUUCCUACAGGUUGGUUAACCGGUUAAUUUGCAUGAGGCCUGAUGUUUGGUCCUUGAUUGGCAACAAAGUUACCAUGAUUAGAGCCAUUACCAUUAGCCUGAACAUCUAUUCCCUCAUUAACACGUGGGGUAUUCUGUCCAUUGUUCAGGACAUUAUCUCUUACAUUUUGAUUACCCCCCAAGUUAGGCGUACCACUACCAUUGUUCUGAUUUGGCACUGCACCACCCCCUUGGUUUGAAGUAGAGGGACUAGAAAGUGGUUCUACCCCUCGAUUCGGAUUUAGGACUGAGGGAUUAUGUCCCACAAUUGUCCUAAUUUGAAAGUGGUUUGCAAGAGGUAUAGCCGGUUGACAUGUUUGGCUUAUUAACUUAUUCAUUAUUUCGUUCAAAGUGUUUAGUUGUUUGGCCAUGUUGUCAUAAUGUGCAUUCCCAUUUUGGGUAAAUCUUUCCAUAUUAUAAAUACUUCGAAGAUUUACCUGUUCAAUGACAUCUUGUGUGAGUUCUCCAAGUAGUGCACGCAUGGUUCGAGGACUCAACUCUGUCAUUGGUUCGUAACGACUGUCAUUGCUUUGAUUCUUUCCAUCUGUUCGUGGAUAGGCAUGCUGCUCCUCAUAUCGCUCGAUCACAGAUUGGAUUCCUCCCUGACUUGCUGCUUCCUUAUCUGAUCUCUGAGGUAUAUUGUUUCACCUUUUGUAUUUUCAACACCAAAAACCACUGUCCCACUGGGCGUGCCAAAUUGUUUGGCACGGGUUCGUCGCUAACAAUUAAAAGGGAUAAGACGAUUGUGUAAGGGACAAACCUCUUGAGACAAAGUCCCAAAAAGGGGUGUUCUUUAUUGGCUAUGACUUUACAAUCGGAAACUAAAAACAGAAUGCCUCCAAGGGGCGCAAACACACGAGUUACUGAAAAAAUUGUUUAAAUCUAAACUAAGAAAUUUAAAAUUACAUGUUCUCUGUUCGAGAGUUUUUGAUUCGGGGGUCCUUUACUCUAUGUCUUUUCUUCUUUUUAUACUCCCUGGAUGAUCUCUUUGUGAUCAACUGCCUAAAAAUCGCUUGAUCGUUCUAUAACUGCCCACUUUCCUCGUAAUGGCCAACUUGUCAUGGAACUACCUUUUUUAACUGCUGCCAUUACUCUUUGUCUUUCAACCGUUUUCGAUUAAAUUUCUUGAAUCGUGGAACGUGAUAGGGCUGCUUAAUAACUGCUUUGAUAACUGCCCUUCUUGAUAACCAUAACACUUCAUGUUUGCUAAGACCUUGGGCGACUCGAAGGUUCGGGCGAGAAUAGAGUAGCAACUCUGGGCGACUGCAUGACAUUCCAUUCGCUCAGAUCCUGGGCGACUUGCAAGUUUGGACGAUGGUGUUACCGCAUUCACGGGCCUCCCUAUUUGGGCCUUCAUCCUGAAUUGUCUGAUUGAGCUUCAUUCUUUGGGCUAUUUGAUUUGGGGAUCCUCCAAUUGGGCUUCAUUUCUUGGGCCAUUCGAUUUGGGCUGAAUUUUUAUGUGUCAACAUGUUUAAGUGAAUUUGAGGUAUUAGCAUAUUAUUAGAAUUAGUAGUAUUUGUUAACGUCGUCCCUUGUUGUCUGAUUGCUCCUGCUUCUAUGAAGCAAAUGAAAGUUGUGAAAUGAUAUAAAGUGAUCGGUAUAAAAGGACUUAGUUUGCAUGACGGGUUUCUUCCGAAGCACGGACCACAUUUUUUUAUUUUUUGGUUCCAUAAAUUUGAUUAGUUGUUGAAAUAUAUAUACAACAGUACUAUGGAAAUGUUUAACUGGCUAUGUUGCUAGAAGAAAUGAACUAAUUCUUGCUGAAAUCUACCUUAAACUACUAGGGUUACCAAAUUAUGCUAGUUCUAUUGCGCAUGACAUGGAAAUUUUAGUUUAAGAUAUGAUUAACGUUUUGCCUAAAUAAGAAUCUAAAACAUCGUUGCUUUAUCAUACCAUAUACAUCUUUGUGUUCAUUUUCCCAUUUAUCUGCUAUAUCUAUGUCACCUCUACACACCCAAUGAACUAGUAAAAUUUUAACCCAUUAGAUUAAUCAUAAUUUGUUGACUUGUUAUUUUUAUUUUCUGCUUCUUUGUCAUUCUAAAUUAUUCAUCUUAAAAUUUGAGGGGAAAAAAAAAACUUUUUGUGUGGCAAUUUGGCAAUUACAGCAAUGCUUAAAAUUUGAGGGGAAAAAAACAAAAAGACUUUCUUCUCAUUCUUGUUUGGCAACUGCGGUAGACUAAAGAAAUUGAAAUUGGACUCUCCUGUUUCAACCAAUCAUUUUGGCUUUUUGUUCAGCAUAUUGUAGCAGUUAAGGUACUAGUAUAUAUAGUUCAAAAAUGAUGGCUGUACGUGUUGGCACCCAAUUCCUGCUUUAAUUCAUAAUCAUUCCUAUCUUUCCAUUUUAUCAACUCCAAUUCAAAUACAGAGAGUCAGAGUUUGCUCAAGCAUGAACAGGAUGGGAACUGGAAGUUGUAACAACUCCAAUACAAUUCCACUACUCACUCCUUACAAAAUGGGAGAGUUUGUCUCUCUCACAGGUUCGAUUCCGAUUUAUUUUUAGUACAUCAAAUUAGUUUCUUUCUCAUUGCUUUAGUUUAGAUUAGCAUUUAGGUUACAUUGUUUGUUUCUAACAUGUUCUGUUAAUGUUUGCACAGAGUAGUUUUAGCACCAUUAGUUAGAAACAGAUCUUACAAUAAUAUUCCACAGCCACACGCGGCAUUAUAUUAUUCACAGAGAACUACCAAAGGUGCUCUCCUUAUUACUGAAGCAACUGGAGUAUCAGCUACUGCACUAGGGUAAGUUGUUUCUAAUAACAAUUGCAAUGUAAAGAAUUUUAUCCUCACAUGAUGACAUAGCUAGUAUAUUUAAUGAAACUUGAACUCGAGACCUAAUACUGAAUUCAUACUUAGUGUGUGUGUGAUGGAACUUGAACUCAAGACCUAAUACUGAAUUCAUAGAUUAAACUGAGCCCUAUUGGCCCAAAUUUUACUAUUCUAGGAUUCGAAAUUCUUUUAUUUUUGUUGUGCAUUUUUUUUUAAGUAGGUCAAAUUAAUAUAAAUCUUUGUGCUCAAAUGGGUAAACAAGGUGCUUUAUAUAUAGAUUCACGCGUCUUUUUAUGUGUUCAUAAGAUUUUGUGUGUGUGUGUUUUUUGCUCUUUGAGGUAGAGGUGUUUAGCCUAUUGAUAAAUUAUUUAUAAAUAUUUUAUUUUGACUUUUUUUUUCCUGAUAUUUGAGUGAUCUAAUCACAUAGAUAUCCAGAUUACAUCUUCAUUUUAAUCAAUCAUUAAUAGUGGAUUCCGAGAUACACCUGGAGUUUGGACAAAGGAGCAAGUGGAAGCAUGGAAGCCAAUUGUAGAUGCAGUUCAUCAGAAGGGUGGAAUAUUCUUUAUGCAAAUAUGGCAUGCCGGCCGUGUCUCUAAUUAUAGUAAGUUUUUUAUGUUAUAUUUAUCGAUCAUUACUAAAACGCAUCAAGGGUGCCUUAAAGACAGCAAUGCUACCAGUAGGAUCAUAUCUAUAAGUAAAAAUGAGUAGGUUUACUCAGUUUAUUUGGUUCAUGAAGGAUAUAUAAUGUGCUAUGGUUCGUUUAACAGGUUUUCAGCCGAAUGAACAAGCUCCAAUAUCAUCAACAGACAAGGGAAUUACCCCCGGCCACGAAGGAGGAGAGUGGUCUCCCCCUAGACGACUGAAGACAGAUGAAAUCCCUGGUGUAGUCAAUGAUUUUAGGUUGGCUGCUCGUAACGCUAUUGAAGCAGGUUAGUACCCUGAUUUGUUUCAUCUAGUGCAUGCAGCUGGAAUUUUUCAAGAAUGGCCUAAUAAUAUUGGCAAGUAACAAAAGGGAGCCUUUUAACUCGUAUUUUGCCUUCUCUAUUGCACGAUUUGAUGGCGUUGAGAUUCAUGGUGCAUAUGGUUACUUAAUUGAGCAGUUUAUGAAAGAUGAAGUAAAUGAUAGAAUAGAUGAGUACGGUGGGAGCUUGGAAAACCGGUGUCGAUUUGCACUUGAAGUAGUAGAGGCAGUGGUCAGCGAGAUUGGAGCUUACAGAGUCGGGAUAAGAUUGUCUCCAUAUUCUGAUUUGAUGGAGGCAAGCCACUCAAAUCCUAAUGCUUUAGCACUUUACAUGGCUAAUGCACUUAAUAAGUUCAACAUUCUCUAUCUCCACGCGAUCGAACCGAGGGUGAUGCCCGAGACCGAGGAUGAAAGCCCCCAUAGACUCCUUCCAAUGAGGAAUGCUUUCAAGAAUACUUUUAUUGCUGCUAGUGGCUAUAACAGAAUUAAUGGCAACAAAGCUAUUGCAGAAAAUUAUGCGGAUUUGAUUGCAUUUGGACGCCAUUUCUUGGCUAAUCCUGAUUUACCAAGGCGAUUUGAGUUGGAUGCCCCUCUUAAUAAGUACAAUAGGAGCACUUUCUACGUUUCGGAUCCCAUCAUUGGUUACACAGAUUAUCCAUUCCUGGAAGAUGCUUAGGGCAUGGUUAACAGAUAUGAUCCUUUUCCGUCUAGCAAUUUAUUGUUUGCUUUGGAUAUUUGAACGGUCUCUCCUUAUUUA
RNAcentral lists this long non-coding RNA (12734 nucleotides) under Olea europaea (common olive). RNAcentral describes it as "long non-coding RNA (OEUR_LNC009487)". Lineage: Eukaryota; Viridiplantae; Streptophyta; Magnoliopsida; Lamiales; Oleaceae. The record is from RNAcentral.